AUACUCUGGUUUCUCCUUCAGGAUCGCUAUAAAUCUUUCGCCUUUUACUAAAGAUUUCCGUGGAGAGGAACUUUAGAUGUUUCUACUUUCAUUUUUUGAGGCUUACUUCGGUGAAGCUA
This is a small nuclear RNA of Chelonoidis abingdonii (Abingdon island giant tortoise), 119 nucleotides long. Its record names the gene U5. It matches the Rfam family "U5 spliceosomal RNA". Rfam says of the family: U5 RNA is a component of both types of known spliceosome. The precise function of this molecule is unknown, though it is known that the 5' loop is required for splice site selection and p220 binding, and that both the 3' stem-loop and the Sm site are important for Sm protein binding and cap methylation. The record is from Ensembl. NCBI's taxonomy places the organism in Eukaryota, Metazoa, Chordata, Testudines, Testudinidae.